GGAGUUAGCCGGUGCUUCUUCUGUGAGUGAUGUCCUUCCUGCCGGCUAUUAACCCGCAGGCCUUCUUCCUCACUGAAAGUGCUUUACAACCCGAAGGCCUUCUUCACACACGCGGCAUGGCUGGAUCAGGGUUGCCCCCAUUGUCCAAUAUUCCCCACUGCUGCCUCCCGUAGGAGUCUGGGCCGUGUCUCAGUCCCAGUGUGGCUGAUCAUCCUCUCAGACCAGCUACGGAUCGUCGCCUUGGUGAGCCGUUACCUCACCAACCAGCUAAUCCGACAUAGGCUCAUCCGAUAGCGCGAGGCCCGAAGGUCCCCCGCUUUCCCCCGUAGGGCGUAUGCGGUAUUAGCCUGGGUUUCCCCAGGUUAUCCCCCGACUACCGGGCAGAUUCCUAUGCAUUACUCACCCGUCCGCCGCUCGCCACCAGGGAGCAAGCUCCCCGUGCUGCCGCUCGACUUGCAUGUGUUAGGCCUGCCGCCACGCGUUCAUCUGAACCAAGAUACAACUACUGA
This 509-nucleotide ribosomal RNA is filed under the name uncultured bacterium. Its description in RNAcentral is "partial 16S ribosomal RNA". The record is from RNAcentral.